Molecule: ribosomal RNA, 459 nt
Filed under: uncultured bacterium
Lineage: Bacteria
Description: partial 16S ribosomal RNA
Rfam family: Bacterial small subunit ribosomal RNA
Source: RNAcentral
CCUACGGGAGGCAGCAGUGAGGAAUAUUGGUCAAUGGUCGGGAGACUGAACCAGCCAAGCCGCGUGAGGGAUGAAGGUACAGAGUAUCGUAAACCUCUUUUGUCAGGGAACAAAGGCGGGGACGUGUCCCCGGAUGAGUGUACCUGAAGAAAAAGCAUCGGCUAACUCCGUGCCAGCAGCCGCGGUAAUACGGAGGAUGCGAGCGUUAUCCGGAUUUAUUGGGUUUAAAGGGUGCGCAGGCGGUCUGUUAAGUCAGCGGUCAAAGCCCGGGGCUCAACCCCGGCCCGCCGUUGAAACUGGCAGGCUCGAGUUGGAGAGAAGUAUGCGGAAUGCGCGGUGUAGCGGUGAAAUGCAGAGAUAGCGCGCAGAACUCCGAGUGCGAAGGCAGCAUGCCGGCUCCACACUGACGCUGAGGCACGAAAGCGUGGGUAUCGAACAGGAUUAGAUACCCUGGUAGUC